UGGCGGACGGGUGAGUAACGCGUAAAGAACUUGCCCUUUAGACUGGGAUAACAGAGGGAAACUUCUGAUAAUACUGGAUAAGUUAGUAUAUCGCAUGAUAUGCAAAUGAAAGCUACGGCACUAAAGGAGAGCUUUGCGUCCUAUUAGCUAGUUGGUAAGGUAAGAGCUUACCAAGGCGAUGAUAGGUAGCCGGCCUGAGAGGGUGGACGGCCACAAGGGAACUGAGAUACGGCCCUUACUCCUACGGGAGGCAGCAGCC
This 259-nucleotide ribosomal RNA is filed under the name uncultured Leptotrichia sp. Its description in RNAcentral is "partial 16S ribosomal RNA". It matches the Rfam family "Bacterial small subunit ribosomal RNA", at positions 96 to 355 of the family's 1533-position model. The record is from RNAcentral. Lineage: Bacteria; Fusobacteriati; Fusobacteriota; Fusobacteriia; Fusobacteriales; Leptotrichiaceae.